Long non-coding RNA from Esox lucius (northern pike), 1277 nucleotides. The record is from Ensembl. Lineage: Eukaryota; Metazoa; Chordata; Actinopteri; Esociformes; Esocidae.
UUUACACCGGAGGGCCACUGUGUCAAGUCUGUUCCGUUUUCUCCCCAUUUGAAUGUGCAGUGGUUCAUUUGGCUGGUGGUGAAAAACAGGUCAACCUGACAAGCAAGGCCUACCUAAAGCCCUGGAGAGAAACUGCCCACUGAUCCAAAAGACCUGACCACCAAAGGCGUCAACAUCAGAUUACAAAUUCAAAGUACUGAAGGUCCUGAAGUGUUCUUCCAGAACAUGAGUGAUGUUGCUGGAAGAACAAAUUGCCUGCCAUGGACUGAGGGAUAUCCCCAAUGCCUUUGCAGUAAUGAUGGAUCUGCUGUAUGCUCUUAACAUUGAUUACCCGAAGGAGUUAAAAUACACAUUUGAGGUGAUUCAGAAAAUUAUCAUGAACUUUGGGGGUGAGGGCUGCUCUGCCAGGGUAAAUAGCCUUCGCAACAACAUGCUUAAGCACUGAAACUGUCAACAAAAAAGCAAAGGAAAAUGUAUGACCAAUGAAGGGUACACAGUAUCAAAAAAGCUAAAUAAGGCAAAUUACGUUAAAAAGCCUUUAAUAGAGCUAAGAACAUGGUAAACACUAAGGUAAACACUUUUCUUUUUUGUAUACCAGUAAACACUAAGGUAAACACUUUUCUUUUUUGUAUACCAGUUUAGCGUUUAUUAAAACAUCUGAUUGAUGUUUUUUUACUUAAGGACUUCCAGUUUCAGAUGGUUAAUAGUAAUAUUAAACUUGUUGCCAUUAAAAUACAUUGUGAUUUCAGCUGUUGCACAAUGAAAAUUCUAAUGUCAAUUUUUUUUUUUUCCAAAUGAACGUCAAGUUGUUUUGGUGUCUGUUUCAACAGAGCACCUUUUCCCUUAUUGAGUAUAGUUGUUUCACAAAGAAUAUACAUGGUUUUGUGUUUGUUGCUUUUACGAUUCAAGAACAAGCAAAUUUGUGAUUUUAGCUGUUGUACAAUGGAAAUUCCAAUGUCAAUAAGUUGUUUUUUAACAUAAAAUAAUGUCAAGUUCUUUUGGCGUCUGUGUCAACAGAGAUUUUCCCUUUAUAGUGCGUAUUGUUUAACAAAUAAUAUUGAGUGUUUACAUCCAACAAUGCAUUGUUUUGUGUUUGUCGCUUUUUCAAGAACAGGCAAAUCGUAUCUCCCUUUAUUGGAGCUUUUAUGCACUUGUAUUUGUUUUAGUCUGAACAUGGAACAUGAAGUUAUAAUGAACAAUAACUUGAAAAAUGUUUUGACAUUAAGUGCCCUUUUUAUUUUGGCAUAAACAAUUGGAACAAUUUAUUGCACAGGAAA